Molecule: long non-coding RNA, 355 nt
Organism: Rhagoletis zephyria (snowberry fruit fly)
Lineage: Eukaryota; Metazoa; Arthropoda; Insecta; Diptera; Tephritidae
Source: RefSeq, a predicted model, not a curated record
ACAAUUGUGGUUGAUUUGGUGUGCUGAUGUGCCAUUCAGGUGAUUUCAUCAACGAAUAGCCGUAGCGAAAAGGUGCAAAAAACGAUGAAAUACAAUUGUGGUUGAUUUGGUGUGCUGAUGUGCCAUUCAGGUGAUUUCAUCAACGAAUAGCCGUAGCGAAAAGGUGCAAAAAACGAUGAAAUACAAUUGUGGUUGAUUUGGUGUGCUGAUGUGCCAUUCAGGUGAUUUCAUCAACGAAUAGCCGUAGCGAAAAGGUGCAAAAAACGAUGUUGGCCACAUGCGUACGGAUAAAUCUUUUCCACCAUACGACUUGAUUCAAAGUGACCAAGAAUUUCAUCAAUGUUUUCGGCAUAGA